This 370-nucleotide unclassified non-coding RNA is filed under the name uncultured bacterium. Its description in RNAcentral is "contains 16S-23S intergenic spacer region". The record is from RNAcentral.
UCCGGUUUGUCACCGGCAGUCUCGCAUGAGUCCCCAACUGAAUGCUGGCAACAUGCGACGGGGGUUGCGCUCGUUGCGGGACUUAACCCAACAUCUCACGACACGAGCUGACGACAGCCAUGCACCACCUGUGAACCUGCCCCGAAGGGAAGCCCUGUUUCCAGGACGGUCAGGCACAUGUCAAGUCCGGGUAAGGUUCUUCGCGUCGCGUCGAAUUAAACCACAUGCUCCGCUGCUUGUGCGGGCCCCCGUCAAUUCCUUUGAGUUUCAUUCUUGCGAACGUACUCCCCAGGUGGGAUACUUAUCACUUUCGCUUAGCCACUCAGAUUGCUCCGAACAGCUAGUAUCCAUCGUUUACGGCGUGGACUAC